Molecule: non-coding RNA, 165 nt
Filed under: Thalassiosira minuscula
Lineage: Eukaryota; Bacillariophyta; Thalassiosirophyceae; Thalassiosirales; Thalassiosiraceae
Source: RNAcentral
AAAUAAAAAAGAAAUCGAAAAGAAAAAACACGCGGACAAGAACAGAGCCAUGAUGACGACGCUUUCAUCAUCAUUAUUAUUUUUCAUUCAUUGUCUAUAAGGUUUGCCUCGCUCAAGCUAAGCACAACUAAUAGUAAAGCAGCGUUCGCUCAGAACGGCGAUAUU